UCCCUUAGUAACUGCGAGUGAAGUGGGAAAAGCUCAAAUUUGAAAUCUCAUCUUGGCUGUCUGAGUUGUAAUUUAGAGAAGUGCUACCUGUACUGGACCGUGUAUAAGUCUCCUGGGAUGGAGCGUCAUAGAGGGUGAGAAUCCCGUCUUUGACAUGGACUGCCAGUGCGUUGUGGUGUACUUUCAAAGAGUCGAGUUGUUUGGGAAUGCAGCUCUAAAUGGGUGGUAAACUCCAUCUAAAGCUAAAUAUUGGCGAGAGACCGAUAGUGAACAAGUACCGUGAGGGAAAGAUGAAAAGUACUUUGGAAAGAGAGUUAAACAGUAUGUGAAAUUGUUGAAAGGGAAACACUUGAUGUCAGUUGUGUUGGCUAGGAUUCAACCCGGCUUUUUUGCUAGGUGAAUUUCCUUGUCUGACAGGCCAACAUCAGUUUUGACUGUUAGAAAAAGGCAAGGGGAAUGUGGCACCUUUGGGUGUGUUAUAGCCUUUUGUCAUAUGUGACAGUCGGGACUGAGGUAUGCAGCGUGCCGCAAGGCUGGGUUUCGACCACGUUCGCCCUUAGGAUGUUGGCUUAAUGGCAUUAAUUGACCCGUCUUGAAACACGGACCAAGGAGUCUAACAUGCCUGCGAGUAUUUGGGUGACUAAACCCUUGUGCGCAAUGAAAGUGAAAAUUGAGAUCCCUGUCAUGGGGAGCAUUGAUGCCCGGACUUGAGCUUUUAGCGAUGGAUCUGCGGUCAAGCAUGCAUGUUGGGACCCGAAAGAUGGUGAACUAUGCCUGAAUAGGGCAAAGCCAGAGGAAACUCUGGUGGCGAUUCUGACGUGCAAAUCGAUCGUCGAAUUUGGGCAUAGGGGCGAAA
RNAcentral lists this ribosomal RNA (856 nucleotides) under Amanita sp. H909. Its description in RNAcentral is "eukaryotic LSU rRNA". It matches the Rfam family "Eukaryotic large subunit ribosomal RNA", at positions 76 to 928 of the family's 3401-position model. Lineage: Eukaryota; Fungi; Basidiomycota; Agaricomycetes; Agaricales; Amanitaceae. The record is from RNAcentral.